This is a long non-coding RNA of Astatotilapia calliptera (eastern happy), 1232 nucleotides long. The record is from Ensembl. NCBI's taxonomy places the organism in Eukaryota, Metazoa, Chordata, Actinopteri, Cichliformes, Cichlidae.
GUUUUUCAUGCUUCAGCUAAUAGACGCCAUGCCCUGCUAUCAAGAUAGAGUUUCCCUAAAUAAAGUGACUAUUCAUUUAUUUGUCAAAGCUUCCCCGGGGAAAACUUCAGCACAAACUUGUACCAUAUUUUGUCAUUUUAUUACAAUCAUAUAAGUUAGAAUUGUGUUAUUAUACUACCCUUAGCCUUGGCCCAUAUUUAAUAUGCAUAAGGUUACGAUAAGCAGCAAGCACGUUAGCUGGUAUGUGCGCUUGACAUAAGAAUUAUGAACUACCAUUGAUGAGAUUUACAGUUUCAUUUGCAGCAUGCAGUCAUUUAUUGAUCUGGAGGAGCUUAUUAGCGAUCCCUUCCACAUGCUUUAUCAACAACAUGUAGCUGUCAUCCCUCCUAAGCAGCAGGUUCCUGUGAGAAAUCUAUGGCUUUGUCACUCACUCUAGGGAGUUAAAGAAUGCCCUGUCACAAUACACAGCUGUCUAUUUUAUACAAUAUACAUCAUGACACAGCUUCAGGCUAUGCUCUCACUAUUCUACAUUUUGGGGCAAGGACAUCCUUUAACUUGCUGGUCUUUUUUUUUUUUUAUAGAUUGGCCCAAAACACUUCACAUCAUUGUCAAUUCUUUAGUUUGAGGUAGUAAAUAUUCUACUUCUGCUUCUAUUGUUUUUGUUCAUUUAAUUGCAUUUUUAAGUAGAUGUUUUGUUUUGUUUUUUAAAGUGGUCAGUGUCACUCAAGUCUGACACUAUUUUGCAUGUAGGUUUUGUAUUUCAUAUAUGUGUAUAAGACAAGUUCAUAAUAAGAGCAGCUGGUCAGCUAUGCAAAAUGUUAAAUGGACUGGUUCUUAUAUAGCGCUUUUCUACUCUUUCCGAACACUCAGAUCACUUUACACAACUUGCCUCAUUCACCCAAGGACUUUUUUCUAUGCUCUUUCUAUGCAAGUGCUUUCUGUCCAACAUUUGCGUGCAUUUAUACUCUUACAGACAGACUGGAGAGAAACCUGGGGUUAAUAUCUUAGCCAAGACUAUACUCUUUGCAUGCAGACUGGAGCAGACAGGGAUCGAACCACCAACCUUCCAAUUGGUGGUUCUGAUGCACCUGAGCUACAGCCACUAUUGAGGCAAAAGUGGGCAUGUCUUCAUUUCGCCACAAGGAAAGGCAUACUCACAUGAAUUCUGUCUACAGCUAAGACUAAGCUUGUAAAGCAGUGACUCAAAUGUUUAUAACUUGUGAACUUCAAGU